Lycium barbarum (goji berry) is the source of this 403-nucleotide long non-coding RNA. RefSeq lists it as uncharacterized. Lineage: Eukaryota; Viridiplantae; Streptophyta; Magnoliopsida; Solanales; Solanaceae. The record is from RefSeq and is a predicted model, not a curated record. The transcript has 3 exons.
AUUAGGAGUAUUUUACUUAUAAAAGAUGGAGUAUAAGCUUUACAAGGAAAAAGAAAAAGUAAAGGUGCCUGACAAUAAUUGCUCUUCAACCAUUUUUAUUUUCCUAAUCAUCAAACGCAAAGUCCUCAACAAACAGGAAAAUCUACUGGAGGAGCCUCCAAUGAUUCCAAUUCACUAACUCCGUUUUCCACGAUGAACGCCAUCGCCAAACCCCACGUGAUGUGAACAUCCAAGUGACAGUGCAUUAUCCAUACUCCUGUUUUAAGUAAAAUAUUGUGGUACAGCUGGGAAAUCAGCUGAGAAAACACCAGGUAUGCCUUGGUGAUGUGCUUGCAGAAGGGAAAAGUUGGAUGGUAGCACAAAAGAUACAUUGUUCAUACUGGCAGCGAAUCGAGUUCCAUUU